GGAGGGUGCGAGCGUUGUCCGGAAUCAUUGGGCGUAAAGGGCGCGUAGGUGGCCCGGUCAGUCUUUGGUGAAAGCGCGGGGCUCAACCCUGCGUCGGCCAGGGAUACUGCCGCGGCUCGAGCACUGUAGAGGCAGGCGGAAUUCCGGGUGUAGCGGUGGAAUGCGUAGAGAUCCGGAAGAACACCGGUGGCGAAGGCGGCCUGCUGGGCAGUUUAGCUGACACUGAGGCGCGACAGCGUGGGGAGCAAACAGGAUUAGAUACCCUGGUAGUCCACGCCGUAAACGAUGGGCACUAGGCGCUUGGGGGAGCGACCCCCCGAGGGCCGGCGCUAACGCAUUAAGUGCCCCGCCUGGGGAGUACGGCCGCAAGGCUG
Molecule: ribosomal RNA, 374 nt
Filed under: uncultured bacterium
Lineage: Bacteria
Description: bacterial SSU rRNA
Rfam family: Bacterial small subunit ribosomal RNA
Source: RNAcentral